GACCCCAGGUCAGGCGGGACUACCCGCCGAGUUUAAGCAUAUCAAUAAGCGGAGGAAAAGAAACUUACGAGGAUUCCCCUAGUAACGGCGAGCGAACCGGGAACAGCCCAGCUU
RNAcentral lists this ribosomal RNA (114 nucleotides) under Buxus balearica. Its description in RNAcentral is "partial 26S ribosomal RNA". It matches the Rfam family "Eukaryotic large subunit ribosomal RNA", at positions 1 to 115 of the family's 3401-position model. The record is from RNAcentral. Lineage: Eukaryota; Viridiplantae; Streptophyta; Magnoliopsida; Buxales; Buxaceae.